UUCUUCCUGUGGCUGCAGAGAUGAAGGGAACGAAGGUUAGCUCAUGAAUGGUAUGGGGCUGGUGUUUUGGAGUAUACUGGGGGUGGCAGCAGGGGCAACUAUUUGGGAGUUAAAAGGUCCUGGCGCUGGAUAUAGAGAUGGAUUGUGGCAAAGGACUACUAUGAGAAAAUAGAAAAGGAGGCAAGCUGUAAUUGUGUUUAUCAAUCCUUUUGAAUUUUGAAACUUCAAUUUCCACAAAAGAGCUGAUGGAUGGAUGUCAAGAAAAAUGUCGCUGGGGACUUAUUCCUUGUUGGAGUAAUUAACACACUGUUUGACCUCUGGUAACUAAAACUGCAGAAGGCAAAACUGGAUAAGAAGACUACUGUAAUGAUUAUGCUAUUACAAGACGCUCGAUUGCUAACAUCAGACAUUUUUAUAAUAGGCCAGAAUCCUGCUAGGACAUCUCUGCCUGUGGAAGGAGGGCUGGAUGGCAUACUGGGAAUGGCGUUCUAGGAUGACUUCCUGUUGCUACAGACUACACGCAGCACUUCUGGCCUUGAUGUUGUCUAAAUGAAGAAGGCAUAGGAGUUUCACCAAAGCACUCUCCUCUCCAAGAAAUUUCAGCAUGGAGAGAAAGAAAGUUUUACCACCAAUUUGUGCCUGAAACACAAGAUGAACAGACGUCUUCUGCAUUAAAAAAGGACACAGGCAUGCAUUAAAUCCCUUAUGUCUUACUUUUUAAUGAUGCAAUUGUGAAUUAUGUUCUUGUUGCAUUUGUAAUUAGAGGCUGCAGCAGAUGGUGAAGACUUAUUUUAAAGUGAUGUGUCUAUUAAAAUAAGCCACACUGCCAAAUGAUUGUUCACUGUAACAGCAUCUUUACACCCCUGAAACACUCUGAUUCUUUGUUGAUGUGCGGUUGAUUACCACAGCUGAUUACAUAUGUGCACAUAUUUGCUCAAAAAUGUAUCAGGGAUAUUUGAUAUGUGCAAUACUUUAUUUUAAAGUGUGUGUUAUCACAAUUAUAGAUAAUGAAGCUUUCAAUGAAUUAUUCAGUUACACCAUCUACAAAGGGAAUGCACUGAUUUCCCUUUUCAAUAAAAUUAGGCAUGAAUCUUUCUAAACUAUUGAGGCCGAUCCUCCCCACACAGUGGGAGAAGCAUUGAACGGAGAAUAGGGAAUUUCUGAGUAUUGAAAGAUUCUCUUAUCUAAAAUCUUGUAAAGAGCAGAUUUUGUAGGGUGAAUUCAGUCUAUGAAUAGUGAUGGUUUCUCCAGCUAAAUGUGGGGAUGGAGGGAGAUAGGCAUUGAGGAAGGGCCAGGUAAAAAUGCAGUAGAGUAAGUAGUGAAAUUGAUGGCAGGUAUUGGACUAGGUUAAUCUGUGAUAACACACAAUACCUAAAUCUCAGUGGCUUAUAAAGAUCUACUUCUCUCUCUGACUACAUGUCUAGCAUGGUUUAUAAAAGGGACUCUGCAUCAUAGUCCAUAAGGGACCAGGCUGAUGGAGACUACAUCUCCACACAGCCUUCUGCAAUCCCUUUGCCAAUAGGAAAAGGAUGUGGUAGCUUAUAUACUAGCUUUUAAACUUCUUUCUGGAAGAGUCACAUGACAUGUGAUGAAACCUAACAUUAAGAAGGCAGAGAAGGCCGGGUGCAAUGGCUCACGCCUGUAAUCCCAGCACUUUGGGAGGCCGAAGUGGGCAGAUCACGAGGUUAGGAGAUCGAGACCAUCCUGGCUAACACAGUGAAACCCCAUCUCUACUGAAAAUCCAAAAAAAUUAGCCAGGCAUGGUGGUGAGUGCCUGUAGUCCCAGCUACUCGGGAGGCUGAGCAAGGAGAAUGGCGUGAACCCGGGAGGCAGAGCUUGCAGUAAGCAUUGAUUGCGUCACUGUACUACAGCCUGGAGGACAGAGCGAGACUGUCUCAAAAAAAAAAAAAAA
Molecule: long non-coding RNA, 1912 nt
Organism: Gorilla gorilla gorilla (western lowland gorilla)
Lineage: Eukaryota; Metazoa; Chordata; Mammalia; Primates; Hominidae
Exons: 4
Source: RefSeq, a predicted model, not a curated record